Molecule: ribosomal RNA, 445 nt
Filed under: uncultured bacterium
Lineage: Bacteria
Description: bacterial SSU rRNA
Rfam family: Bacterial small subunit ribosomal RNA
Source: RNAcentral
CCAGACUCCUACGGGAGGCAGCAGUGGGGGCUCUUUCACAAUGGGUUCCCCCCUGAUGCCGCUCCGCCGCGUGUCGUCCGACGGUCCUCUCGCUUGUAAACUCCUGUCCCCAGGGACGCAGAUGACGGUCCCUGGGGAGGAAGCUCCGGCUAACUACGUGCCAGCAGCCGCGGUAAUACGUAGGGAGCGAGCGUUGUCCGGAAUUACUGGGUGUAAAGGGAGCGGAGGCGGGGAUGCAAGUUGGGUGUUAAAUCUACCGGCUCAACUGGUAGUCGCACUCAAAACCGCAGCUCUUGAGUGAAGUAGAGGCAGGCGGAAUUCCUAGUGUAGCGGUGAAAUGCGUAGAUAUUAGGAGGAACACCAGUGGCGAAGGCGGCCUGCUGGGCGUUUACUGACGCUGAGGCUCGAAAGUGUGGGGAGCACACAGGAUUAGAUACCCCAGUAA